This 76-nucleotide transfer RNA is filed under the name Actinomyces sp. 2119. Its description in RNAcentral is "tRNA-Val". It matches the Rfam family "tRNA". From Rfam's summary of the family: Transfer RNA (tRNA) molecules are approximately 80 nucleotides in length. The record is from RNAcentral. Lineage: Bacteria; Bacillati; Actinomycetota; Actinomycetes; Actinomycetales; Actinomycetaceae. RNAcentral also lists the same sequence under 1 other name.
GGGCGAUUGGCUCAGGGGUUAGAGCGCCUCGUUCACACCGAGGAGGUCACUGGUUCGAAUCCAGUAUCGCCCACCA